Molecule: long non-coding RNA, 107 nt
Organism: Ochotona curzoniae (black-lipped pika)
Lineage: Eukaryota; Metazoa; Chordata; Mammalia; Lagomorpha; Ochotonidae
Exons: 3
Source: RefSeq, a predicted model, not a curated record
ACACACACACACACACACACACACACACACACACUCAUGGAGAACCACAGGCGCCAAGUUCAGACACAGCACAGGGACUCCUUGCCCUGGCAGUAGUUCAGGUCCUG